Molecule: ribosomal RNA, 449 nt
Filed under: uncultured bacterium
Lineage: Bacteria
Description: partial 16S ribosomal RNA
Rfam family: Bacterial small subunit ribosomal RNA
Source: RNAcentral
AAUGAACGCUGGCGGCAGGCCUAACACAUGCAAGUCGAACGGAUCCUUCGGGAUUAGUGGCGGACGGGUGAGUAACGCGUGGGAACAUACCCUUUGGUACGGAAUAGCCUCGGGAAACUGGGAGUAAUACCGUAUGUGGUCGAGAGACGAAAGAUUUAUCGCCAAAGGAUUGGCCCGCGUUGGAUUAGGUAGUUGGUGGGGUAAUGGCCUACCAAGCCGACGAUACAUAGCUGGUUUGAGAGGAUGAUCAGCCACACUGGGACUGAGACACGGCCCAGACUCCUGCGGGAGGCAGCAUUGGGGAAUCUUAGACAAUGGGGGAAACCCUGAUCUAGCCAUGCCGCGUGAUCGAUGAAGGCCUUAGGGUUGUAAAGAUCUUUCAGGUGGGAAGAUAAUGACUGUACCACCAGAAGAAGCCCCGGCUAACUCCGUGCCAGCCGCCGCCGUAA